AACGAACGCUGGCGGCACGCUUUAAGCAUGCAAGUCGAAUGGCAGCAGGGGCAUCUCUGUGAGAAUGGCGAACGGGUGAGUAACACGUAGGUGAUCUGCCUUGAGGAUGGGGAGAGCCUGUGGAAAAACAGGGUAAUACCGCAUGAGCUGACGAGCCUUUGGUAUCGUUAGAAAAGGUGCUACGGCACCGCCUUGAGAGGAGCCAGCGGCUGAUUAGCUAGUUGGUGGAGUAGGAGCUUACCAAGGCGACGAGCAGGAGCCGGGCUGAGAGGGUGUACGGCCACACUGGAACUGAGACACGGUCCAGACUCCUACGGGAGGCAGCAGCUAAGAAUCUUCCGCAAUGGGCGAAAGCCUGACGGAGCGAUGCCGCGUGAUCGAUGAAGGUCGAGAGAUUGUAAAGAUCUUUUCUACAUGAGGAAUAAGUCUGGGAGGGAAUGCCCGGAUGAUGACGUUAGUGUAGGAAUAAGCCCCGGCUAAUUACGUGCCAGCCGCCGCAGUAA
Molecule: ribosomal RNA, 503 nt
Filed under: uncultured bacterium
Lineage: Bacteria
Description: partial 16S ribosomal RNA
Rfam family: Bacterial small subunit ribosomal RNA
Source: RNAcentral